This 1719-nucleotide long non-coding RNA is filed under the name Pan troglodytes (chimpanzee). Its description in RNAcentral is "lncRNA (ENSPTRG00000052948.1)". The record is from RNAcentral. Lineage: Eukaryota; Metazoa; Chordata; Mammalia; Primates; Hominidae.
GAAAAAAGUAGUAUCCCAGUAUAAUUGGUAAACGCAUAAAUAUAAUUUCAUCAAAGAAUAAAAAAUAGAACUAUUAAGGAAACAGUAAAAAUGUUUGUGGUUGCUAGUAAUCAUAGAAUGUAAAUUAAGACAAAAUAACUUAUUUUUACAUUCAAAUUAAUUAAAGGAUAUGAUCUCAAAAAUGUCAUGAAAAUGGUGCUUUUAUAUCUUGCAGGUGGGAAGACAAAUUGAUGCAACCCUCUUGAAAAGCAAUCUGGCAAUAUGAACCAAGAGCCAUGAAAAGGCUUAUGCUAUUAUAAUUAGUAAGUCAAUUUAUAGAAAUUUGUUUUUUAAAAGUAAAGUAAAAUAAGAGAAAACCCUUGCUGGGAAAGAUGUUCAUUGCAAUAUUGCCUACAACAGGAAAAAUAUUGGAAGAAAAAAAUCUAACAAAUUGAUAAAAUCAUAUUAGGUAAAUUAGGGUGGACCUCUGUGGUAGAAAAUUAUGCAACUGAUAGAAAUGAUAAUAAUAAAAAUCACAUAGCAACAUAGAAAUGCCUUAAUUAGAAUCUUAAGUGGAAAAUGAGCAUAUGAAAUAGAAUGCAGGCUAUUGUCAUUACAUACAAUUAUGUAGAGAAGACUGAAAGGAAACAUUUCAAAGGUUUGUAAGUUAUUUAAAGAUAGUGGGAUUACAGAUUUUUUUUUUUUUUUACUUUCCAUAUAUAUUCUUCAAUGUUGUUAUAAUGAUUUAACAAUGAAAAUGUAAUUGAUAGUGUAUUAUUGCUAUUUCCUUAAUUCCAGAAUGGCUGUAAUGUUGGCUGUAAAUAUGAAAUUUUCUUUCACACACCAGUAUUUUCAAGAAUGGCAUAUUCACAUGCAGUAUGUGAUGAAAGAAGCAGUAGAGGAUGUUAACAAAGCUAUUUCUUUGGACAAUCUGAACCUGAACUCCUGAGUGUGCUCAAGAGUGAAUUGCUUUGGAAUGGGAGGAAUUCAAGCCCAGCUUCCCUGAAGACUGCCACUGGGGAGCAGCAGAUUUCACACAGCGGAAAGCCUUUGAACUUCUUGCAGGAAAGAUAGUAUAUCUCAGUUAAGAGAUGUAUGUUUGGAGAAAAUCAUAGUCCUUGCUUUUUCCCAUGCAGAUGGAUUUUUAUCUGAAUACUGAUGUGUUUGUCACCAAACAGAAAAUAAACCAUGAGACACUUAACUAAAAGACAAAAGUUUGAAAGGAAAUAAGCUUCACAAUUACUCAAGAUGGAAUCCAUUCUACAAUUUUUUUUCCUACAACAUCUGUUUUACAUUUCCCGAUUAGCAAUACUUUCAUGAGAAUUUAGCAGAUGAAAUGAAAGUAUAUAGAAUUAGUCCAUUUUCACACUGCUGAUAGAGACAUACCUGAAACUGGGCAAUUUACAAAAGAAAGAGAUUUAAUUGGACUCAUAGUUCCACAUGGCUGGGGAGGCCUCAAUCAUGGUGGAAGGUAAGGAGGAACAAGUCACAUCUUACGUGGAUGGCAGCAGGCAAAAAGGGCUUGUGCAGGGAAAUUCCCAUUUUUAAAACCAUCAGAUCUUGUGAGACUCCUUCACUAUCAUGAGAACAGCACAGGAAAGACCCACUCCUAUGAUUCAGUCAUCUCCCACUGGGUCCCUCCACAACACGUGGGAAUUAUGGGAGCUACGAGAUGAGAUUUGGGUGGGGACCCAGAGCCAAACCAUAUCAUAUAUGUAGAUAUGAAGAUAAAUAUUCUGG